UCUUAUUAAUUAUUAUCAGGAAACGACUGCUAAGACUGGAUAGGAGACAAGAAGGCAUCUUCUUGUUUUUAAAAGACCUAGCAAUAGGUAUGCUUAGGGAGGAGCUUGCGUCACAUUAGUUAGUUGGUGGGGUAAAGGCCUACCAAGACUAUGAUGUGUAGCCGGGCUGAGAGGUUGAACGGCCACAUUGGGACUGAGACACGGCCCAAACUCCUACGGGAGGCAGCAGUAGGGAAUUUUCGGCAAUGGAGGAAACUCUGACCGAGCAACGCCGCGUGAACGAUGAAGUAUUUCGGUACGUAAAGUUCUUUUAUUAGGGAAGAAUAAAUGAUGGAAAAAUCAUUCUGACGGUACCUAAUGAAUAAGCCCCGGCUAACUAUGUGCCAGCAGCCGCGGUAAUACAUAGGGGGCAAGCGUUAUCCGGAAUUAUUGGGCGUAAAGGGUGCGUAGGCGGUUAAAUAAGUUUAUGGUCUAAGUGCAAUGCUCAACAUUGUGAUGCUAUAAAAACUGUUUAGCUAGAGUAAGAUAGAGGCAAGUGGAAUUCCAUGUGUAGUGGUAAAAUGCGUAAAUAUAUGGAGGAACACCAGUAGCGAAGGCGGCUUGCUGGGUCUUUACUGACGCUGAGGCACGAAAGCGUGGGGAGCAAACAGGAUUAGAUACCCUGGUAGUCCACGCCGUAAACGAUGAGUACUAAACGUUGGGUAAAACCAGUGUUGAAGUUAACACAUUAAGUACUCCGCCUGAGUAGUACGUGCGCAAGUAUGAAACUUAGAGGAAUUGACGGGACUCCGCACAAGCGGUGGAUCAUGUUGUUUAAUUCGAAGGUACCCGAAAAACCUUACCAGGUCUUGACAUGCUUCUGCAAAGCUGUAGAAACACAGUGGAGGUUAUCAGUUGCACAGGUGGUGCAUGGUUGUCGUCAGCUCGUGUCGUGAGAUGUUGGGUUAAGUCCCGCAACGAGCGCAACCCUUAUUGUUAGUUACCAGCACGUAAUGGUGGGGACUUUAGCAAGACUGCCAGUGAUAAAUUGGAGGAAGGUGGGGACGACGUCAAAUCAUCAUGCCCCUUAUGACCUGGGCUACAAACGUGAUACAAUGGCUGUUACAAAGGGUAGCUGAAGCGCAAGUUUUUGGCGAAUCUCAAAAAAACAGUCUCAGUUCGGAUUGAAGUCUGCAACUCGACUUCAUGAAGUUGGAAUCGCUAGUAAUCGCGAAUCAGCAUGUCGCAGUGAAUACGUUCUCGGGGUUUGUACACACCGCCCGUCAAUCA
This 1269-nucleotide ribosomal RNA is filed under the name 'Populus nigra' phytoplasma. Its description in RNAcentral is "bacterial SSU rRNA". It matches the Rfam family "Bacterial small subunit ribosomal RNA", at positions 131 to 1403 of the family's 1533-position model. Lineage: Bacteria; Bacillati; Mycoplasmatota; Mollicutes; Acholeplasmatales; Acholeplasmataceae. The record is from RNAcentral.